GGCCUACCAUGCAAGUCGAACGGUAACAGGAAGAAGCUUGCUGCUUUGCUGACGAGUGGCGGACGGGUGAGUAAUGUCUGGGAAACUGCCUGAUGGAGGGGGAUAACUACUGGAAACGGUAGCUAAUACCGCAUAACGUCGCAAGACCAAAGAGGGGGACCUUCGGGCCUCUUGCCAUCGGAUGUGCCCAGAUGGGAUUAGCUUGUUGGUGGGGUAACGGCUCACCAAGGCGACGAUCCCUAGCUGGUCUGAGAGGAUGACCAGCCACACUGGAACUGAGACACGGUCCAGACUCCUACGGGAGGCAGCAGUGGGGAAUAUUGCACAAUGGGCGCAAGCCUGAUGCAGCCAUGCCGCGUGUAUGAAGAAGGCCUUCGGGUUGUAAAGUACUUUCAGCGGGGAGGAAGGGAGUAAAGUUAAUACCUUUGCUCAUUGACGUUACCCGCAGAAGAAGCACCGGCUAACUCCGUGCCAGCAGCCGCGGUAAUACGGAGGGUGCAAGCGUUAAUCGGAAUUACUGGGCGUAAAGCGCACGCAGGCGGUUUGUUAAGUCAGAUGUGAAAUCCCCGGGCUCAACCUGGGAACUGCAUCUGAUACUGGCAAGCUUGAGUCUCGUAGAGGGGGGUAGAAUUCCAG
RNAcentral lists this ribosomal RNA (636 nucleotides) under bacterium. RNAcentral's name for it is "bacterial SSU rRNA". It matches the Rfam family "Bacterial small subunit ribosomal RNA", at positions 45 to 672 of the family's 1533-position model. The record is from RNAcentral.